This 626-nucleotide small RNA is filed under the name Histoplasma ohiense. Its description in RNAcentral is "hypothetical lncRNA". Lineage: Eukaryota; Fungi; Ascomycota; Eurotiomycetes; Onygenales; Ajellomycetaceae. The record is from RNAcentral.
GCCACCGGAAUGAGUAUGGAUAAUCAGCUAUCCACGAUAUCCAUUUUCUAUAAAGAAAUGAGCCUACUUGGUCUUCUCCAUCAUUCCUCCUCCUAAUAAGCGCCUCAGAGUGAAAUACUCCAUGCAUAGCAUAUAAUCUGACAAUGGCAACCGGGAAAUACAUCCCUCCAGCCCUCCGCAACAAUAAGGGGGAAAUCGAUGACCAGCAACGGCAACCCCAGGACCAGCAGCAACCUCUGAACUCAAUGUCUACAUCUUACCAACUGAAGGAUACGGAAACAUACUUCGGGAAUUCAUUCCGGCACGGCGUUUGCGACAAGUUUCUCAAUCUCAACAGCAGCAGCAGCAACUACUACUACAAUAAAAGUUUCUCAAAAUGUGUGAAAUCCCCAGCCCCAGCAACCACCACUACAUGUUCACCGCAAGAGCGACAGCGACAGCGAUGGCAAGGAACCCUCAACACAACCGCCAAUGAUCCACACACGCUGUCCUACAUAGUUCUUUUCAGAGAGGCCCAUCCAUUUUGGGAAACAAAGCGUGAAAUUUUGUGCAAGUCGAACCUUCAUCUUCUCCCAGAGUCGUUCGCGGCAACACUGAAUGUCACCACCACCACCACCACCACCACC